AUUAUAUAAAGUGUGUCUCAGUAAAAGAUGCGUGUAUCGCGAGGCGUGGGAAGAAAACCCAGCGGAACCUUCAGUGAGUGAGUGUGCGCGUGGCGGAGGGAUAUCAGAGUUACACGUCACGUGGAUGUUUAGUGUUUUGGGCUUUUGUCAGGCACCCGUUCCCGUGAAAAGCAUGUCUCGCGCCGCUGACUAUGACGCGUUGUUCGCGUCGCGUUUCUCUCCCGCGGACGCGCAUUUCCAGCGCUACCGAGAGCGCGCGCCCGACCCGCCGCCCGCCGUGCACGA
Rhinichthys klamathensis goyatoka is the source of this 285-nucleotide long non-coding RNA. RefSeq lists it as uncharacterized. The record is from RefSeq and is a predicted model, not a curated record. The transcript is spliced from 2 exons. Lineage: Eukaryota; Metazoa; Chordata; Actinopteri; Cypriniformes; Leuciscidae.